CUCCGCUAACAUCAAGGCGGUGACCCGAUCCUGUAGGUUCAUGCUCUACAACAUUCACAGAGUACGACCCUGCCUUACACAGGAAGCGGCGCAGAUCCUAAUCCAGACAUUCGCCUGUCUGCCUCAAGUUCUGUAAAAAAUGCUGUCAAAUCUGUGACCUAUGGAAAUUUGCGGAACACCACAAGAUAACAUUGAGGAAGUAGCUAGCCAGAUUGCUAGCUAUUCGACAGCUGUGCAAGAGUAACGUUCGUUAGCUGUUUAUGUAGCUGCUCUUUAAUAUUCGAUUUAAUUCGUUUUUAAUCAUGGACCAAGCAGUCAGCGUCAAUGCAGACCCAGAUAUGCCAUCUGACAGUGAGGGUCGUAGUUCGCGCUGGAGAAAUUGGACUGGUUUUUGGUGAGUUUAGCUGUGAGAUUAUGUUCUACUAUGGUGAAUGUGAUGUGAAAUCAGAAACGGGGUUUAAAACAAGUUUAAGCUGUAAAAGAGACCCCUGUAGUUUCCUAAAAUCAGACUCCAACUGCAUUAAAGCUUAGUCCGCUGUUGGAGCAAUAGAGUACAUCACUGUGUCAUCUGCAUAUAAAUGGAAUUUACAAUAUCUGACAUCAUCACCAAUGUUGUUUAUAUAAAGUGAGAACAAUAGUGGGCCAAUUAUUGAACCCUGAGGGACCCCUUUAAGUAACUGUAAGGAGUCAGACUUGACCCCGUCGACCAUGACGGCCUGAGUUCUAUCUUUAAGAUAGUCAUAAAACCAUCGGCCUUCCCUGUAGCUCAGUUGGUAGAGCAUGGUGUUUGCAACACCAGGGUUGUGGGUUCGAUUCCCACGGGGGGCCAGCACAGGAAAAAAAAAAAAAUGUAUGAAAUUGUAUGAAAUGUAUGCAUUCACUACUGUAAGUCGCUCUGGGUAAGAGCGUCUGCUAAAUGACUAAAAUGUAAAUGUAAUUCAUCACUCCAGCUGAUGCUUGGCAUUGCACAAGGUGAUCUUAGGCUGGUGUGAGGCUGCUCGGCCAUGGAAACCUAUUUCAUGAAGCUCCCAACGAGCAGUUAUUGUGCUGAUGUUGCUUCCAGAGGCAGAUUGGAACUCGGUAGUGAGUGUUGCCACUGAGGACAUUUUUAUCAGCUACGCGCUUCAGCACUCGGCGGUCCCGUUCUGUGAGCUUGUGUGGCCUACCAAUUCGCAGCUUAGCCGUUGUUGCUCCUAGAUGUUUCCAAUUCACAAUAACAGCACUUACAGUUGACCGGGGCAGCUCUAGCAAGACAGAAAUUUGACAAACUGAUUUGUUGGAAAGGUGGAAUCCCAUGACAGUGCCACGUUGAAAGUCACUGAGCUCUUCAGCUCUACUGCAAAUGUUUGUCUAUGGAGAUUGCAUGGCGGUGCGCUCUAUUUUAUACAUCCAUCAGCAACGGGUGUGGCUGAAAUAGCCAAAUCCACAAAUUUGAAG
Molecule: long non-coding RNA, 1437 nt
Filed under: Salmo trutta (river trout)
Lineage: Eukaryota; Metazoa; Chordata; Actinopteri; Salmoniformes; Salmonidae
Description: lncRNA (ENSSTUG00000023805.1)
Rfam family: UnaL2 LINE 3' element (bases 873-926)
Source: RNAcentral